UUCUACCCCAAUCGAGUAGUGAAAACAUUUUAAAAGGGGAGAAAGACCAAAAUGAGAAAAGAGAGUGACGGAAAUGGAGAGGUGGAAAGGGACAAGAAAAGAAAAGACUUUCAUGGCCUGAUAUUAUUGCAUGUAUUGUUUACACCUAUUGAAAGUACAAUUCUUUUCAUACUUAUUGAUUUGUAUAUGAUGUAUGUGAAUAUGAAAUAUGAAAUUUAACUAAACCGAAAAGAAAAAAACUUUUAACUCUGUCCCCGCUAUCGUCGACUUAAUCAGUGGACCACCACAGUAAACAUUUGGCACAUGUUAUGUAGACUGUGUAUAUACCAGUAACUCAAAACAAUGAAGCAGUCUUGGGUUUCAUUCUGGUGUGAAUAUUGAAACAAAUGUCAGCAAGAUUUUUCCUUCUUCAGGAAUCAGAAUGGAGCGACAGAAGGAGAAGGAGCUUCCAGCAGUGGAAGCACGGAUGGAUCUCAUUCAGACAUAAGUGGGUUUCACAGCCUUCAUUCAAACAACAGAGCUCAAAGAAGGUCAUCUCCUGAUGGUUCACCAAGAAGAGACUUGUUGAAACCUGACUCACUAUCCAUUAAGGAUGUUAUGGCUUUUGCUUUGACUGGACGGACUUUAAGCACCGAAAGUUCUAAUUCAGACAUGAGUGGGUGUCACAGCUUACAUUCCAAUGAUGAAGUUGAGGGAAGGACUUCAGGAGACACCAAAUCCUCCCAGUCUAACAUCAUGUCUCAGCCUGGAACACUAGCUAGCACCGAGAAUGCUUCAUAUGCUAAAGACUCAAAAGUGACUCCACCCAUGGCUGCAUUGAGAUCUGAG
Long non-coding RNA from Strongylocentrotus purpuratus (purple sea urchin), 828 nucleotides. RefSeq lists it as uncharacterized. The record is from RefSeq and is a predicted model, not a curated record. NCBI's taxonomy places the organism in Eukaryota, Metazoa, Echinodermata, Echinoidea, Camarodonta, Strongylocentrotidae. The transcript is spliced from 5 exons.